GAUCCUGGCUCAGGACGAACGCUGGCGGCGUGCCUAAUACAUGCAAGUAGAACGCUGAAGAGAGGAGCUUGCUCUUCUUGGAUGAGUUGCGAACGGGUGAGUAACGCGUGAGGAACCUGCCUUGAAGAGGGGGACAACAGUUGGAAACGACUGCUAAUACCGCAUGACGCAUAGAGGUCGCAUGAUCUUUAUGCCAAAGAUUUAUCGCUUCAAGAUGGCCUCGCG
This 225-nucleotide ribosomal RNA is filed under the name uncultured bacterium. Its description in RNAcentral is "partial 16S ribosomal RNA". It matches the Rfam family "Bacterial small subunit ribosomal RNA", at positions 15 to 235 of the family's 1533-position model. The record is from RNAcentral.